Small nuclear RNA from Mustela putorius furo (domestic ferret), 163 nucleotides. Its record names the gene U1. It matches the Rfam family "U1 spliceosomal RNA". From Rfam's summary of the family: U1 is a small nuclear RNA (snRNA) component of the spliceosome (involved in pre-mRNA splicing). Lineage: Eukaryota; Metazoa; Chordata; Mammalia; Carnivora; Mustelidae. The record is from Ensembl.
AGACUUCCCCAGCAGGGGAAAAGCAUGAUCAUGCAGGUGCGUUUCCCAGUUCUAGACCCACCCAUUGCACUCUGGGUGUUGCUGACCUUUUUCAUUUCCUCAAAUGUGGGAGACUUGGUUACAUGAUUUAUGGUAGUGGGGACUGUGUUCGUUUUCUUCUCUU